AUUGAACGCUGGCGGCAGGCUUAACACAUGCAAGUCGAGCGAGCGGCGGACGGGUGAGUAAUGUCUGGGAAACUGCCUGAUGGCGGGGGAUAACUACUGGAAACGGUAGCUAAUACCGCAUACCAUCAGAUGAACCCAUAUGGGAUUAGCUAGUAGGUAAGGUAACUGCUAACCUAGGCGACGAUCCCUAGCUUGUCUGAGAGGAUGGUCAGCCACACUGGUCAUGUGACACGGCCCAGACUCCUACGGGAGGCAGCAGUGGGGAAUAUUGCACAAUGGGCGCAAGCCUGAUGCAGCCAUGCCGCGUGUAUGAAGAAGGCCUUCGGGUUGUAAAGUACUUUCAGUCGGGAGGCGUUACCGACAGAAGAAGCACCGGCUAACUCCGUGCCAGCAGCCGCGGUAAUAC
Molecule: ribosomal RNA, 406 nt
Filed under: uncultured bacterium
Lineage: Bacteria
Description: partial 16S ribosomal RNA
Rfam family: Bacterial small subunit ribosomal RNA
Source: RNAcentral